ACCGCGAUAGCACUGUUGGGAGAGCAUCUGCCCGGUGGGCAGAUUGUUGCCGGUUGGAUCCCGGCUUGCGGCG
This 73-nucleotide transfer RNA is filed under the name Fasciola gigantica. RNAcentral's name for it is "tRNA-Thr". The record is from RNAcentral. Lineage: Eukaryota; Metazoa; Platyhelminthes; Trematoda; Plagiorchiida; Fasciolidae.